GGGUAUAGCUCAGUGGUAGAGUGAGUGCUUUGUACACAUGAGGCCCUGAGUUCAAUCCCCAGUAUGUCCA
RNAcentral lists this transfer RNA (70 nucleotides) under Camelus bactrianus (Bactrian camel). It matches the Rfam family "tRNA". Rfam says of the family: Transfer RNA (tRNA) molecules are approximately 80 nucleotides in length. Their secondary structure includes four short double-helical elements and three loops (D, anti-codon, and T loops). The record is from Rfam by way of RNAcentral. Lineage: Eukaryota; Metazoa; Chordata; Mammalia; Artiodactyla; Camelidae. RNAcentral also lists the same sequence under 2 other names.